RNAcentral lists this non-coding RNA (18 nucleotides) under Arabidopsis thaliana (thale cress). The record is from RNAcentral. Lineage: Eukaryota; Viridiplantae; Streptophyta; Magnoliopsida; Brassicales; Brassicaceae.
UGAGGGAAUUGUAGGUGA